Long non-coding RNA from Carya illinoinensis, 479 nucleotides. RefSeq lists it as uncharacterized. NCBI's taxonomy places the organism in Eukaryota, Viridiplantae, Streptophyta, Magnoliopsida, Fagales, Juglandaceae. The transcript is spliced from 2 exons. The record is from RefSeq and is a predicted model, not a curated record.
GCCCAAUCGCCUCCCCCCUAUCCCUUCGUGAUGUUUCUCCUCUCAUGGCUUCGUUGAUCUCCAUCGGAUUCAUAUUUCUCCUCAGCAGCUGAAGCCCCUAUCAACCAUUCCCUUAGUUGCCACAACCCUCUCCCACGUAGUGGCACCGGAAGCCCUCUCUCGAUUGUCUCUCAGCCCUCCUUUGACGCAGCUGUCUCUCCCAUUUCGACGGUAGUAAUCAAUGCAUAGAGUUGGAUCUACAAGCAAGAAAAAAUGAAGUGGAAGGAAGGAGAAAGAGGUCAAGAAGAGACCCGGCGAUAUCGAGAAUAUGGAUUGGACUUUUGUAAUUGGUGUGUUUUUUUAUUUAGUGACUUCGUAGUAGUGUAGUUGGUGUAUGUGUUAGAAGUUUAUUUAGAAUGUAAUGUAAAUACAAUGUAAAUAUUGGAUUUGAUGUUUGUUAAGCUUUGUAGAAUGCAAUUAUAUUAGCACUUCGUUGGUCU